CCAGGACCCAUCGCCUCCCUUCCGCUUCCGGCCUUCUGCGGGGCGGUGGCGGGAGAGGAGUGACGACAGUAUGUUGCGGCGACCGGCGUGGCAGGUGUUUCGCCAGUUUGUAAGACAUGAGUCUGAUACAGCCAGCUCGUUGGUUCUCGAAAGAUCCAUGAAUCGUGUUCAGUUACUGGGUCGGGUUGGACAGGACCCCAUCAUGAGGCAAGUGGAUGGAAAAAACCCCGUUACCAUAUUUUCUCUUGCAACCAAUGAGAUGUGGCGAACAGGGGAAAGUGACGUAACCCAGGGAGGAGGCGAUAUCAGUCAGAAGACGACAUGGCACAGGAUCUCUGUCUUCAGACCGGGCCUCAGGGAUCUUACGUAUCAGUAUGUGAAGAAGGGUGCUCGACUCUACGUUGAAGGGAAGAUAGACUAUGGUGAAUAUACAGAUAAAAACAAUGUGAGGCGGCAGGCCACAACAAUCAUAGCAGGGCAUUUUUUUCUUCCUGUUAAGACUGGAGGCUUCGCCAACUUUAAGGACACCUGUUUGUUUAUCCCCACAUAAAACAUCAAAAGUCAAGAUAACUUGAUGGAGAAUUUAGAAGGACCUUGGUCUGGUAGCCAGGAGUGAUAAUGUAAUUUUUCUGAGUGAUGGUGGUAUGAAAGAAAAGGUGUGAGGUUGUUAGUGCCUGGACCCAGGCCAUUUCAUUCCUUUUAACAGUGCUUCAUAAUUCUGUAAUCGUGUAUAUUGCUGUAGUUUCUUUAAAAAAUAAAUAAAAUGUUUGAUACCUA
This is a non-coding RNA of Phalacrocorax carbo (great cormorant), 777 nucleotides long. The record is from RefSeq and is a predicted model, not a curated record. Lineage: Eukaryota; Metazoa; Chordata; Aves; Suliformes; Phalacrocoracidae.